This 246-nucleotide ribosomal RNA is filed under the name uncultured bacterium. Its description in RNAcentral is "partial 16S ribosomal RNA". It matches the Rfam family "Bacterial small subunit ribosomal RNA", at positions 523 to 769 of the family's 1533-position model. The record is from RNAcentral.
AUACGUAGGGAGCGAGCGUUGUCCGGAAUUACUGGGCGUAAAGGGCGCGUAGGCGGGCUGGUAAGUUGUAUGUGAAAUACCCGGGCUCAACCUGGGGGUGCAUACAAAACUGCUGGUCUUGAGUGCGGUAGAGGAAAGUGGAAUUCCUAGUGUAGCGGUGAAAUGCGUAGAUAUUAGGAGGAACACCAGUGGCGAAGGCGACUUUCUGGGCCGUAACUGGCGCUGAGGCGCGAAAGCGUGGGGAGC